CAUUGGCUCAANCAAUGUAUGCUUUGGAAACUGUUAGACUUGAGUGCAGAAGGGGAGAGUGGAAUUCCAUGUGUAGCGGUGAAAUGCGUAGAUAUAUGGAGGAACACCGGUGGCGAAAGCGGCUCUCUGGUCUGUCACUGACGCUGAGGCUNGAAAGCGUGGGUAGCGAACAGGAUUAGAUACCCUGGUAGUCCACGCCGUAAACGCUGAGUGCUAGGUGUUAGGUCCUUUCCGGGACUUAGUGCCGACGCUAACGCAUUAAGCACUCCGCCUGGGGAGUACGACCGCAAGGUUGAAACUCAAAGGAAUUGACGGGGGCCCGCACAAGCGGUGGAGCAUGUGGUUUAAUUCGAAGCAACGCGAAGAACCUUACCAGGUCUUGACAUCCCGAUGCCCGCUCUAGAGAUAGAGUUUUUCUUCGGAACAUCGGAGACAGGUGGUGCAUGGUUGUCGUCAGCUCGUGUCGUGAGAUGUUGGGUUAAGUCCCGCAACGAGCGCAACCCUUAUUGUUAGUCGCCAUCAUUAAGUUGGGCACUCUAGCGAGACUGCCGGUAAUAAACCGGAGGAAGGUGGGGAUGACGUCAAAUCAUCAUGCCCCUUAUGACCUGGGCUACACACGUGCUACAAUGGUUGGUACAACGAGUCGCAAGCCGGUGACGGCAAGCUAAUCUCUGAAAGCCAAUCUCAGUUCGGAUUGUAGGCUGCAACUCGCCUACAUGAAGUCGGAAUCGCUAGUAAUCGCGGAUCAGCACGCCGCGGUGAAUACGUUCCCGGGCCUUGUACACACCGCCCGUCACACCACGAGAGUUUGUAACACCCAAAGUCG
Molecule: ribosomal RNA, 826 nt
Filed under: uncultured bacterium
Lineage: Bacteria
Description: bacterial SSU rRNA
Rfam family: Bacterial small subunit ribosomal RNA
Source: RNAcentral